UACGUAGGGCGCAAGCGUUGUCCGGAAUUAUUGGGCGUAAAGAGCUCGUAGGCGGCUUGUCACGUCGGAUGUGAAAGCCCGAGGCUUAACCUCGGGUCUGCAUUCGAUACGGGCUAGCUAGAGUGUGGUAGGGGAGAUCGGAAUUCCUGGUGUAGCGGUGAAAUGCGCAGAUAUCAGGAGGAACACCGGUGGCGAAGGCGGCGACCUGGUCCGAAACUGACGCUGAGGCGCGAAAGCGUGGGGAGCAAACAGG
Molecule: ribosomal RNA, 253 nt
Filed under: uncultured bacterium
Lineage: Bacteria
Description: partial 16S ribosomal RNA
Rfam family: Bacterial small subunit ribosomal RNA
Source: RNAcentral